UACAGAGGGUGCAAGCGUUGUUCGGAAUUACUGGGCGUAAAGCGCGUGUAGGCGGCGCGUUAAGUCGGAUGUGAAAUCCCUCGGCUCAACCGAGGAACUGCAUCCGAUACUGGCGUGCUUGAGUGUCGGAGGGGGUGGCGGAAUUCCCGGUGUAGAGGUGAAAUUCGUAGAUAUCGGGAGGAACACCUGUGGCGAAGGCGGCCACCUGGACGACUACUGACGCUGAGACGCGAAAGCGUGGGGAGCAAACAGG
RNAcentral lists this ribosomal RNA (253 nucleotides) under uncultured bacterium. RNAcentral describes it as "partial 16S ribosomal RNA". It matches the Rfam family "Bacterial small subunit ribosomal RNA", at positions 524 to 776 of the family's 1533-position model. The record is from RNAcentral.